AUUGAACGCUGGCGGCAGGCCUAACACAUGCAAGUCGAGCGGAGCGGCGGACGGGUGAGUAAUACCUAGGAAUCUGCCUGAUAGUGGGGGAUAACGUUCGGAAACGGACGCUAAUACCGCAUACUAUCAGAUGAGCCUAGGUCGGGUUAGCUAGUUGGUGAGGUAAUGGCUCACCAAGGCUACGAUCCGUAACUGGUCUGAGAGGAUGAUCAGUCACACUGGAACUGGGGCACGGUCCAGACUCCGCCGACAGGCAGCAGUGGGGAAUAUUGGACGAUGGGCGAAAGCCUGGUCCAGCCAUUCCGCGUGUGGGAAGAAGGUCUUCGGAUUGUAAAGCACUUGAAGGUGGGAGGCGUUACCGACAGAAUAAGCACCGGCUAACUCUGUGCCAGCAGCCGCGGUAAUUC
This 407-nucleotide ribosomal RNA is filed under the name uncultured bacterium. Its description in RNAcentral is "partial 16S ribosomal RNA". It matches the Rfam family "Bacterial small subunit ribosomal RNA", at positions 30 to 526 of the family's 1533-position model. The record is from RNAcentral.